AACUUUCAACAACGGAUCUCUUGGUUCUGGCAUCGAUGAAGAACGCAGCGAAAUGCGAUAAGUAAUGUGAAUUGCAGAAUUCGGUGAAUCAUCGAAUCUUUGAACGCACAUUGCGCCCCUUGGUAUUCCGGGGGGCAUGCCUGUUCGAGCGUCAUUUCAACCCUCAAGCUCUGCUUGGUAUUGAGCCCCGCCAGCGAUGGCGGGCUCUAAAAUCAGUGGCGGUGCCGCUGGGUCCUGAGCGUAGUAAUUCUCUCGCUACAGGUGCCUGGUGCGCGUCUGCCAACAACCCCAAAUUUUUCUAUGGUUGACCUCGGAUCAGGUAGGGAUACCCGCUGAACUUAAGCAUAUCAAUAAGCGGAGGCU
RNAcentral lists this unclassified non-coding RNA (363 nucleotides) under uncultured Ascomycota. RNAcentral describes it as "sequence contains ITS2". The stretch from base 1 to 154 matches the Rfam family "5.8S ribosomal RNA". The record is from RNAcentral. Lineage: Eukaryota; Fungi; Ascomycota.